AUUGAACGCUGGCAGCAGGCCUAACACAUGCAAGUCGAGCGGAGCUGCGGUCGGGUGAGUAAUUCCUAGUAAUCUGCCUGUUAUUGGUGGAUAACGUCCGGAAACGGGCUCUAAUACCGCAUACUAUCACAUGAGCCUACGUCGGAUUAGCUAGUUGUUGGGGUAUAGGCCUACCAAGGCGACGCUCCGUAACUGGUCUGAGUGGAUGAUAAGUCACAGUGGAACUGAGACACGGUCAAGAGUCCUACGGGGGGCAGCAGUGGGGAAUAUUGGACAAUGGGCGAAAGCCUGAACCAGAAAUGCAGAGUGUGUGAAGAAGGUAUUCGGAUUGUAAAGCACUUUAAGUUGGGAGGCGUUACCAACAGAAUAAGCACCGGCGAACUUCGUGCCAGCAGCCGCGGUAAUAC
This 407-nucleotide ribosomal RNA is filed under the name uncultured bacterium. RNAcentral describes it as "partial 16S ribosomal RNA". It matches the Rfam family "Bacterial small subunit ribosomal RNA", at positions 30 to 526 of the family's 1533-position model. The record is from RNAcentral.